Molecule: ribosomal RNA, 760 nt
Filed under: uncultured bacterium
Lineage: Bacteria
Description: bacterial SSU rRNA
Rfam family: Bacterial small subunit ribosomal RNA
Source: RNAcentral
AGAGUUUGAUCCUGGCUCAGAACGAACGCUGGCGGCAUGCCUAACACAUGCAAGUCGAACGCUUUUGGGGCUUCGGCCCCAAGGGAGUGGCGCACGGGUGAGUAGCGCGUGGGAACCUGCCCUGUUGUGGGGGAUAACCGAGGGAAACUUCGGCUAAUACCGCAUGCGCCCGAAGGUAACUUCGAGGAAAGAUUUUAUCGCAGCAGGAGGGGCCCGCGUCGGAUUAGCUGGUUGGUGGGGUAACGGCCUACCAAGGCACCGAUCCGUAGCUGGUCUGAGAGGAUGAUCAGCCACACUGGGACUGAGACACGGCCCAGACUCCUACGGGAGGCAGCAGUGGGGAAUAUUGGACAAUGGGCGCAAGCCUGAUCCAGCAAUGCCGCGUGAGUGAUGAAGGCCUUAGGGUUGUAAAGCUCUUUCGCCCGCGACGAUGAUGACGGUAGCGGGAGAAGAAGCCCCGGCUAACUUCGUGCCAGCAGCCGCGGUAAUACGAAGGGGGCGAGCGUUGUUCGGAUUUACUGGGCGUAAAGGGCGCGUAGGCGGCCUUCCAAGUCAGGCGUGAAAGCCCCGGGCUCAACCUGGGAGGUGCGCUUGGGACUGGCGGGCCGGAGUUCGGGAGAGGAGCGUGGAAUUCCCAGUGUAGAGGUGAAAUUCGUAGAUAUUGGGAAGAACACCGGUGGCGAAGCGGCGCUCUGGACCGAGACUGACGCUGAGGCGCGAAGGCGUGGGGAGCAAACAGGAUUAGAUACCCUAGUAGUCC